UCAACCAACGAGGAGAGCGUAGAGAGCAGAGAGAAGGAAGUGUUUCGGUUUCAGCCUGGUUUCAGAUUGGAGCUCCUUCAGGGGGGGGGGGUCUUUGUGUCCUCACUCUUUUCUCCGCCAGCCACUCGCCUGGUUCCACGAUGACCUGCCCCUCCACCUCUUCAGUUGGACUAAUCCUCCUUCUGAUUGGCUACGCUGUCGCAGGACCUGAGACGGCCAGGCAGCCUCGAGCGGUGCGUUCGAGUGCCUGUCAAGAAUACACGAGGCGUCACAAGGCCUCGAUGUGGUGGAAAAGAAGGUGGAGGACAUGGUGGAGAAGUUGGAGGCCGAGAUGGCCGCCCUGCUGGACGCCAUCGACGCCCCGAAGUGGCGCCCCCUAGUGG
Pseudoliparis swirei is the source of this 383-nucleotide long non-coding RNA. RefSeq lists it as uncharacterized. The transcript is spliced from 3 exons. The record is from RefSeq and is a predicted model, not a curated record. NCBI's taxonomy places the organism in Eukaryota, Metazoa, Chordata, Actinopteri, Perciformes, Liparidae.